This 240-nucleotide ribosomal RNA is filed under the name uncultured bacterium. RNAcentral's name for it is "partial 16S ribosomal RNA". It matches the Rfam family "Bacterial small subunit ribosomal RNA", at positions 88 to 334 of the family's 1533-position model. The record is from RNAcentral.
UGGUUUAGUGGCGCACGGGUGAGUAACACGUGAAUGACAUGCCCUUGAGUGGGGGAUAGCCCAGGGAAACUUGGAUUAAUACCCCAUGGUAUCGCGAGAUUAAAGGUGGCCGCAAGGCUGUCGCUCAAGGAUUGGUUCGCGCCCUAUCAGCUUGUUGGCGGGGUAACGGCCCACCAAGGCUACGACGGGUACCUGGUUUGAGAGGACGAUCAGGCACACUGGAACUGAGACACGGUCCAG